Molecule: long non-coding RNA, 523 nt
Filed under: Theobroma cacao (cacao)
Lineage: Eukaryota; Viridiplantae; Streptophyta; Magnoliopsida; Malvales; Malvaceae
Description: long non-coding RNA (TCAC_LNC002044)
Source: RNAcentral
GGUCUUCUUCUUCUUCUCCUCUCUCACGUUUCUUCAAAACUCCAUGGAAGCUUGAUUUGAAGCUUGAAUGAUUUUCUCUCUCUAGCUUUAGUUUUCACAUCUUUGAACCCUUUUGACUAGAACCUUUGAAUUCUUUCAUCCUCUCACUUCAAAACCCUUGAUAAAGCUUAUUUCCAGACUUUCUCUCACUAGUUGGGCAUUCUAGAGAGAGAAAGAGAGAAUUACUCCAUUGAUUUGGAAGCUAUUGGAAGAUAAUUUGACUACAAAGGAACCCUAUGGUAAGUAAUGAACUAAGCUCGAUUUUUAGUUGCAGAAAAUGGCUAGUAAUUAGGAUUUAUGAGCUAUUUUAUUGUUGACUAUAUUCAUUACUUUUUAGUGAUUAAGAUAGUGAACAUAGAUAGCUGUUUAAUGUGGCAAUUGAAAACUAGCUAAGAGAUAGCCUUUAGAGUUCAUAGUGUGUAAAUUGAUCUAUUGUUUAUGUUAAUGUGAUCCUAGGUUUUAAGGAAGCCCCAUCAUCUCAUUU